RNAcentral lists this ribosomal RNA (446 nucleotides) under uncultured bacterium. RNAcentral describes it as "bacterial SSU rRNA". It matches the Rfam family "Bacterial small subunit ribosomal RNA", at positions 29 to 506 of the family's 1533-position model. The record is from RNAcentral.
AUGAACGCUAGCGGUAUGCUUAACACAUGCAAGUCGAACGAAAAAUUUGAUAAAAUCUUUUUUUAGUGGCGAACGGGUGAGUAAUGCGUGAGAAUUUGCCUUUAGAAGGAGGAUAACUAUUAGAAAUAAUAGCUAAUACUGCAUAAAGUCUUAUCGAUGAAAGAAGAAAUUCGUCUAAAGAGAAGCUCACGUCUGAUUAGCUAGUUGGUAGGGUAAGGGCCUACCAAGGCGACGAUCAGUAGCUGGUUUGAGAGGAUGAUCAGCCACAUUGGAACUGAGAUACGGUCUAGACUCCUACGGGAGGCAGCAGUGGGGAAUUUUCUGCAAUGGGCGACAGCCUGACAGAGCAAUACCGCGUGAGGGAAGAAGGCCUUCGGGUUGUAAACCUCUUUUUUCAAGGAGGAAGAUCUGACAGUACUUGAAGAAUAAGCAUCGGCUAACUCUGU